CGGGUGCGUAACGCGUAUACAAUCUACCUUUUGCUGAGGAAUAGCCCAGAGAAAUUUGGAUUAAUGCCUCAUAGUAUGCUGACUUCGCAUGGAGAUAACAUUAAAGGUUACGGCAAAAGAUGAGUAUGCGCCCUAUUAGUUAGUUGGUGUGGUAACGGCACACCAAGACAGCGAUAGGUAGGGGCCCUGAGAGGGGGAUCCCCCACACUGGUACUGAGACACGGACCAG
This 229-nucleotide ribosomal RNA is filed under the name uncultured bacterium. RNAcentral's name for it is "partial 16S ribosomal RNA". It matches the Rfam family "Bacterial small subunit ribosomal RNA", at positions 103 to 334 of the family's 1533-position model. The record is from RNAcentral.